Molecule: ribosomal RNA, 611 nt
Filed under: uncultured bacterium
Lineage: Bacteria
Description: bacterial SSU rRNA
Rfam family: Bacterial small subunit ribosomal RNA
Source: RNAcentral
CAAGCCUUCGAUGGAUAGGGGUUCUGAGAGGAAGGUCCCCCCACAUUGGAACUGAGACACGGUCCAAACUCCUACGGGAGGCAGCAGUGAGGAAUAUUGGUCAAUGGACGAGAGUCUGAACCAGCCAAGUAGCGUGGAGGAUGACUGCCCUAUGGGUUGUAAACUUCUUUUAUACGGGAAUAAAGUGAGGCACGUGUGCCUUUUUGUAUGUACCGUAUGAAUAAGGAUCGGCUAACUCCGUGCCAGCAGCCGCGGUAAUACGGAGGAUCCGAGCGUUAUCCGGAUUUAUUGGGUUUAAAGGGAGCGUAGGCGGACGCUUAAGUCAGUUGUGAAAGUUUGCGGCUCAACCGUAAAAUUGCAGUUGAUACUGGGUGUCUUGAGUACAGUAGAGGCAGGCGGAAUUCGUGGUGUAGCGGUGAAAUGCUUAGAUAUCACGAAGAACUCCGAUUGCGAAGGCAGCCUGCUGGACUGUAACUGACGCUGAUGCUCGAAAGUGUGGGUAUCAAACAGGAUUAGAUACCCUGGUAGUCCACACAGUAAACGAUGAAUACUCGCUGUUUGCGAUAUACAGUAAGCGGCCAAGCGAAAGCGUUAAGUAUUCCCACCUGGGG